Molecule: ribosomal RNA, 440 nt
Filed under: uncultured bacterium
Lineage: Bacteria
Description: bacterial SSU rRNA
Rfam family: Bacterial small subunit ribosomal RNA
Source: RNAcentral
GCAGAACGCGAAGAACCUUACCAGGACUUGACAUGGAAAGGACCGGACGAGAGAUCGUUCUUCUUCCGCAAGGAAGCCUUUCACACAGGUGCUGCAUGGCUGUCGUCAGCUCGUGUCGUGAGAUGUUGGGUUAAGUCCCGCAACGAGCGCAACCCUCGUCUCUAGUUGCCAUCAUUCAGUUGGGCACUCUAGAGAGACUGCCGCGAAUAACGCGGAGGAAGGUGGGGACGACGUCAAGUCAUCAUGGCCCUUACGUCCUGGGCUACACACGUGCUACAAUGGGCGUCACAGAGGGUCGCAAGAGCGUAAGCUGGAGCCAAUCCCCAAAAACGUCCUCAGUUCAGAUCGAGGUCUGCAACCCGACCUCGUGAAGGUGGAAUCGCUAGUAAUCGCGGAUCAGAACGCCGCGGUGAAUACGUUCCCGGGUCUUGUACACACCG